UUAAUUGAAACCAAAAAGAGGUAUACCACUGUUAAUGGUAUCAUUGAGGCCACACCCCCGAUUAAA
This 66-nucleotide transfer RNA is filed under the name Anomophysis sp. ASCT00116655. RNAcentral describes it as "tRNA-Asn". The record is from RNAcentral. Lineage: Eukaryota; Metazoa; Arthropoda; Insecta; Coleoptera; Cerambycidae.